AUGAGAUCCAGUCACACAGCUGCAGUGGGUGGCAGAGAGGAGAGCUUAGGCACACAGGCAGGACGCAUCUUUUCCACCCCACCUCACUGCCCUAGACGGUCUUCAGCCCAGACCCAGGGUGGCAGGUAAGCAGGCUCCACUCUGGAAGAAGCUGGUCCCGGAGGCUCUACGUCUAGUCUCUCCCCCAAGGAAGAACUUCUCAGGAGCAAACAUGGCCCUACUGUGGCUGUGAGAUCUGUUGCUGUCACUGGACUGAAGACACCAGCUGCCACCUACAGGAGUGAAGAUCCAGAAGCAGUGAAGCAAGGCUGCUGGGGUCUCUCCUGAACCUCUCUGAGCAGCAUCUUCCUUACUACACAAUAGCCACCAGGUUCCAGAUGCCAUCAGGAUGCUGGCCAGGCUUCCCUGGAUUGAAGACCCCACCAAUGUGUCCUGGAGCUCCGUUUCCCCAGAGACCCACCCUACUAGGGAAAGAGAGAGGCAGAUUGGGAGUAUGGACUGACCAGUCAACGUCCAUGUUCAGCGGGGAAGCAAUUACAGAAGCCAGACCUUCCACCUUCUGCAACCCACAACGACCCUGGGUCCAUGCUCCCAGAGGGAUAGAGAAUGGGAAAGCUAUCAGGGGAGGGGAUGGGAUAUGGAGAUUG
Molecule: long non-coding RNA, 647 nt
Organism: Erinaceus europaeus (western European hedgehog)
Lineage: Eukaryota; Metazoa; Chordata; Mammalia; Eulipotyphla; Erinaceidae
Exons: 3
Source: RefSeq, a predicted model, not a curated record